Molecule: ribosomal RNA, 458 nt
Filed under: uncultured bacterium
Lineage: Bacteria
Description: bacterial SSU rRNA
Rfam family: Bacterial small subunit ribosomal RNA
Source: RNAcentral
GGCGGCAGGCUUAAACAUGCAAGUCGAGCGGGCGUAGCAAUACGUCAGCGGCAGACGGGUGAGUAACGCGCGGGAACGUACCUUUUGGUUCGGAACAACCCAGGGAAACUUGGGCUAAUACCGGAUAAGCCCUCACGGGGAAAGAUUUAUCGCCGAAAGAUCGGCCCGCGUCUGAUUAGCUAGUUGGUGAGGUAAUGGCCCACCAAGGCGACGAUCAGUAGCUGGUCUGAGAGGAUGAUCAGCCACAUUGGGACUGAGACACGGCCCAAACUCCUACGGGAGGCAGCAGUGGGGAAUAUUGGACAAUGGGCGCAAGCCUGAUCCAGCCAUGCCACGUGAGUGAUGAAGGCCCUAGGGUUGUAAAGCUCUUUUGUGCGGGAAGAUAAUGACGGUACCGCAAGAAUAAGCCCCGGCUAACUUCGUGCCAGCAGCCGCGGUAAUACGAAGGGGGCUAGCGU